RNAcentral lists this ribosomal RNA (416 nucleotides) under uncultured bacterium. RNAcentral's name for it is "bacterial SSU rRNA". It matches the Rfam family "Bacterial small subunit ribosomal RNA", at positions 28 to 439 of the family's 1533-position model. The record is from RNAcentral.
GACGAACGCUGGCGGCGCGCCUAACACAUGCAAGUCGAACGAGCGAGAGAGAGCUUGCUUUCUCGAGCGAGUGGCGAACGGGUGAGUAACGCGUGAGGAACCUGCCUCAAAGAGGGGGACAACAGUUGGAAACGACUGCUAAUACCGCAUAAGCCCACAGCUCGGCAUCGAGCAGAGGGAAAAGGAGCAAUCCGCUUUGAGAUGGCCUCGCGUCCGAUUAGCUAGUUGGUGAGGUAACGGCCCACCAAGGCGACGAUCGGUAGCCGGACUGAGAGGUUGAACGGCCACAUUGGGACUGAGACACGGCCCAGACUCCUACGGGAGGCAGCAGUGGGGAAUAUUGCACAAUGGGGGAAACCCUGAUGCAGCGACGCCGCGUGGAGGAAGAAGGUCUUCGGAUUGUAAACUCCUGUUGU